UAGGGAAUCUUCGGCAAUGGACGAAAGUCUGACCGAGCAACGCCGCGUGAGUGAAGAAGGUUUUCGGAUCGUAAAACUCUGUUGUUAGAGAAGAACAAGGACGUUAGUAACUGAACGUCCCCUGACGGUAUCUAACCAGAAAGCCACGUCUAACUACGUGCCAGCAGCCGCUGUAAUACGUAGGUGGCAAGCGUUGUCGGAUUUAUUGGGCGUAAAGCGAGCGCAGGCGGUUUCUUAAGUCUGAUGUGAAAGCCCCCGGCUCAACCGGGGAGGGUCAUUGGAAACUGAGAGACUUGAGUGCAGAAGAGGAGAGUGGAAUUCCAUGUGUAGCGGUGAAAUGCGUAGAUAUAUGGAGGAACACCAGUGGCGAAGGCGGCUAUCUGGUCUGUAACUGACGCUGAGGCUCGAAAGCGUGGGGAGCAAACAGG
Molecule: ribosomal RNA, 428 nt
Filed under: Gemmatimonadota bacterium
Lineage: Bacteria; Pseudomonadati; Gemmatimonadota
Description: Gemmatimonadetes bacterium partial 16S ribosomal RNA
Rfam family: Bacterial small subunit ribosomal RNA
Source: RNAcentral